GACGAACGCUGGCGGCGUGCUUAACACAUGCAAGUCGAACGAUGAACUCCAGCUUGCUGGGGGGAUUAGUGGCGAACGGGUGAGUAACACGUGAGUAACCUGCCCUGGACUCUGGGAUAACCCCGAGAAAUCGGAGCUAAUACCGGAUAGGACCUUGAACCGCAUGGUUUGGGGUGGAAAGUUUUUCGGUCUGGGAUGGA
RNAcentral lists this ribosomal RNA (200 nucleotides) under uncultured bacterium. Its description in RNAcentral is "partial 16S ribosomal RNA". It matches the Rfam family "Bacterial small subunit ribosomal RNA", at positions 28 to 229 of the family's 1533-position model. The record is from RNAcentral.